RNAcentral lists this ribosomal RNA (253 nucleotides) under uncultured bacterium. Its description in RNAcentral is "partial 16S ribosomal RNA". It matches the Rfam family "Bacterial small subunit ribosomal RNA", at positions 524 to 776 of the family's 1533-position model. The record is from RNAcentral.
UACGGGGGGGGUAAGCGUUGUUCGGAAUUACUGGGCGUAAAGGGCUCGUAGGCGGCCAACUAAGUCAGACGUGAAAUCCCUCAGCUUAACCGGGGAACUGCGUCUGAUACUGGAUGGCUUGAGUUCGGGAGAGGGAUGCGGAAUUCCAGGUGUAGCGGUGAAAUGCGUAGAUAUCUGGAGGAACACCGGUGGCGAAGGCGGCAUCCUGGACCGACACUGACGCUGAGGAGCGAAAGCCAGGGGAGCAAACGGG